CAGCAAGGGAAUUUCAGUCCUAAAGGAUUUCUCUCAGAAAACACACCUUUGGGACAUUGUUAGUCAAGCUGCUUCUUGUUUUAAAAUCUUUUCACAGCCUAUUUUGUGUCUUCCCACUUCGUGAGGUCAGCAAUCCUUUUCUCCCCUCCUUCCAUAUCCGUUCCCAUCAGCACCAUGAAAAGCAGCAACCCCCCUUUGCAGAACUCAGAGAGUCCCCUAAACUCAGGGCCCAUGCCUAUUUGCAUGUUGGCCCUUAUUCUCUGUGCCCCGGAGCCCCCUCCCCGCCUUCUCCUUCCAGGUCAGCUGGAAGAACCUGCCCGCAAGCUGCCCUGGGUGCUACAGACUGAUGGAUUGUGUUCUUCCGAAAUUCAUAUGCUGAAGCCUAAUCCCCAAGGUGCCGUCUGUGAAAAACCGAGGCUCUGACCCUGCUGGCACCUUGAUCGUAG
Molecule: long non-coding RNA, 446 nt
Filed under: Pan troglodytes (chimpanzee)
Lineage: Eukaryota; Metazoa; Chordata; Mammalia; Primates; Hominidae
Description: long non-coding RNA NONPTRT016397
Source: RNAcentral